RNAcentral lists this ribosomal RNA (849 nucleotides) under uncultured bacterium. Its description in RNAcentral is "bacterial SSU rRNA". It matches the Rfam family "Bacterial small subunit ribosomal RNA", at positions 8 to 853 of the family's 1533-position model. The record is from RNAcentral.
AGAGUUUGAUCAUGGCUCAGAUUGAACGCUGGCGGCAUGCCUUACACAUGCAAGUCGAACGGCAGCACGGGGGCAACCCUGGUGGCGAGUGGCGAACGGGUGAGUAACGCAUCGGAACGUGCCCAGUAGUGGGGGAUAACCAGUCGAAAGAUUGGCUAAUACCGCAUACGACCUACGGGUGAAAGCGGGGGAUCGCAAGACCUCGCGCUACUGGAGCGGCCGAUGUCUGAUUAGCUAGUUGGUGGGGUAAAGGCUCACCAAGGCGACGAUCAGUAGCUGGUCUGAGAGGACGACCAGCCACACUGGGACUGAGACACGGCCCAGACUCCUACGGGAGGCAGCAGUGGGGAAUUUUGGACAAUGGGCGAAAGCCUGAUCCAGCCAUGCCGCGUGCGGGAAGAAGGCCUUCGGGUUGUAAACCGCUUUUGGCAGGAACGAAACGGUGCCGACAAAUACUCGGCGCUAAUGACGGUACCUGCAGAAUAAGCACCGGCUAACUACGUGCCAGCAGCCGCGGUAAUACGUAGGGUGCAAGCGUUAAUCGGAAUUACUGGGCGUAAAGCGUGCGCAGGCGGCUAUGCAAGACAGGUGUGAAAUCCCCGGGCUCAACCUGGGAACUGCAUUUGUGACUGCAUGGCUAGAGUUUGUCAGAGGGGGGUGGAAUUCCACGUGUAGCAGUGAAAUGCGUAGAGAUGUGGAGGAACACCGAUGGCGAAGCAGCCCCCUGGGACCUGACUGACGCUCAUGCACGAAAGCGUGGGGGAGCAAACAGGAUUAGAUACCCUGGUAGUCCACGCCCUAAACGAUGUCGACUAGUUGUCGGAGAUUCACUUCUUCGGUAACGCAGCU